CCUACGGGAGGCAGCAGUGGGGAAUCUUGCGCAAUGGCCGAGAGGCUGACGCAGCGACGCCGCGUGGGGGAUGAAGCAUUUCGGUGUGUAAACCCCUGUUGCUCGGGACGAACGACCGGUUUCGACCGGUGUGACGGUACCGAGUGAGGAAGCACCGGCUAACUCCGUGCCAGCAGCCGCGGUAAUACGGAGGGUGCGAGCGUUGUCCGGAAUCACUGGGCGUAAAGGGCGCGUAGGUGGUUAGAUGCGCCGGUGGUGAAAGCGCAGGGCUCAACCCUGCGUCGGCCAUCGGGACGGUCUGACUGGAGCACUGUAGAGGCAGGUGGAAUUCCGGGUGUAGCGGUGGAAUGCGUAGAGAUCCGGAAGAACACCGGUGGCGAAGGCGGCCUGCUGGGCAGUUGCUGACACUGAGGCGCGACAGCGUGGGGAGCAAACAGGAUUAGAUACCCUGGUAGUCCACGCCGUAAACGAUGGGCACUAGGUGCUUGGGGGAGCGACCCCCUGAGUGCCGACGCUAACGCAUUAAGUGCCCCGCCUGGGGAGUACGACCGCAAGGUUGAAACGUCAAAGGAAUUGACGG
RNAcentral lists this ribosomal RNA (580 nucleotides) under uncultured bacterium. Its description in RNAcentral is "bacterial SSU rRNA". It matches the Rfam family "Bacterial small subunit ribosomal RNA", at positions 338 to 916 of the family's 1533-position model. The record is from RNAcentral.